This 1353-nucleotide long non-coding RNA is filed under the name Hordeum vulgare. RNAcentral describes it as "long non-coding RNA (HVUL_LNC009745)". The record is from RNAcentral. Lineage: Eukaryota; Viridiplantae; Streptophyta; Magnoliopsida; Poales; Poaceae.
UUGAUGAUAUGAUGCCAUGAUACUCAAUGACAUGAAACAAUUUUAUUAACUCAACACACAUCAUACACAACAUGAAGGUUCGCACAUGGAAAUAUUACAAAUAUGGCAAGGGGAUGAACUUGGCCUGUUACAAUCUAGCCGCCUGAGGAGGUCUUCCCUCCUGCCGAAGGAGGAGAGCAUCCGAAAGAGGUCUGCACAGAGGGGGAGGCAGGCACCAACAUGUCGGCCACCACAAGCCUCGACCGGUCGCCACAGCAUCCUAAGACGGAGGUUUCCACACCUAGACCUCCAGACACAACCAAGAUGUUAGUAGGAGUGGGAGUCGAAUUGGAUGUCGAGGAUCAUCCUAGGAUUGGGAGUCAAAUGGGAACGAGGCCGCUCUGGUGGAGGCCAGGUUGGAUCUGAUGAUGCAGUAGCCCCUGGGCACUCGGGGUCGCCGGGGGCGGAGAAGGAGGAGUCGGACGCAUCAUGGGCCUUAACCCCGAUGAGCCACAUCACUCUACCGUAGAACAGUACUCUGUGCCACGCCCGAUCUGCCCUCACCUCCCUCGAGGUCGACCUCAUGGCCGGUAAAGAGAGCCUUCACAUGGAGCGGGAGAUCCUCCCGGGAGGCUGGCGGCAACUGAACAUGGAGAGGUAGCUGGGUCGCCUCCAAGCCGACGCCGCUUGGAGGGAAAGCGAGGAGGCCAUAUGGAGGAACCCAAGAGCUCCUCGAUGGGGUGAUCGGGGUCACGGGAGACGACACCAGAUGUCUCGAGGAGGCGGUGUCGGGAAAGGAGGCCUUCGUGGAUCACGUUGUGGCUCACGAGGUCUAACUCAUUUCUCACAAGGGGGUGGUCGCCCGGUGCGAGAGCAGGGCGGUAGUUAUGAGAUGGACAUGGAGGUCCGGGAGCGCGAAGUCAUGUGGAUUACCAUCGAGCAGGUGAGGAAGGGAGAGCGUCUGGAGAACUUGGAUCACCGUAUCGUUGUUGGCGAGGCAUCCUACAAAGAACGCCUUGUGAAAGCCAAUACCACGCUUGAAGAGAAGUCUGCGAAGUACAAGGCAGAGUUCGACAAGUAGGCCUAGGACGAGGUUGCGUGGAAGUCCAAGAUCCUUGUCGACACCUACUCCAAGAACUUGAAGAAGCGGGAUGACCGCAUCAUGAAGAGGUGUGUGGAGCUCGAGACAGAAAUCGCAAGAAUCGAACAAUAGCUCCUGUCGUCCGAGGCUGAGCAGUGGAGCAUGAUGGAGCUCUAGGCCAGGACCCGCUGUGAGUUGGAGGAGCUCCAGGCAUAAGUGGGAGCUUUCACCGACGAGGUGGAGUGGACCGGCGAUGUCGAGAUAGAACAAUUUAUGGGACCUGCCAGGCCCCU